Molecule: transfer RNA, 62 nt
Filed under: Epacanthaclisis banksi
Lineage: Eukaryota; Metazoa; Arthropoda; Insecta; Neuroptera; Myrmeleontidae
Description: tRNA-Cys
Source: RNAcentral
GGUUCUGUAUUCAAAAAUGAUUUUAAAUUGCAAAUUUAAAGGUGAAUAAAAUUCCAGAACUU